GCUCCCUGAUGCGGCCUCCACUCUUCGCAGGGCCAGGGGGCGAGGAAGGAGGAGGGAGGGAAGAGGGAAGCUGGGGAGUGGGAGAGCGUCCUCCACGACCGCUUGGGUCCUCCGCGGGGCAGCCUCGGGGAGGGUGGCUGCAGGGCCCGGAGUCGCCUGGAUCGCAGCGCCAUCUCGUGGCUGCUGGCAGGUCUGCCUUGGGCCCUCUUGGCACAAGGCAAGGAAACAGGAGCUCUUCCCAUCAGUGACAGGUGCCCGCCGGCCCGCACCCAGGAGAAUGCUCCAGUGUCACCAGUGACUCCUGCUCCCACAUCUGCCUACAGGAAGCCCUCUUGGAACAAAAGCAUCUCACUUCUGGGAGGCAUCAAGUAGAGAUGAGGUCUCAAUGAAGCAGUGUUGUUGCCUGGGGUAAAUACCCGGGUUCAUCAUCUCGAGCCAAGAAGAUUAAGGACAUGAACACACAUGAAGAUCAAGGGAGAAGCAGUGAUGUUUUAGUAUCCAGAAAGUGGAAAUAACCCAAAUGCCCAUCAACAGCAGAAUGAAAUUGUACUAUAUUCACACCAUGGAAUAUUGUAUAGCAAAGAGAAUGAAUGAACUAUUAACAGAAAAGACAUGGACAAAUCUCAUAAACAUGAUGCUGAAAGAAACCACAGUCAAAAAAGAAGAUGCUUCCCAACCUUUUGCAGACCAUGGCAUACGCAGAAAAUGACAACAUCGGAAUGGCACACUGGCAUACCAGUUGGGGAUCCUUGCAGUCAAUGCUGACUGGACUCAUCCUUCAGCCGCCCCCAAGAAGAGAGAGAUCAAUACCUUGGCACAUCUGUGGGAAAGCUCCCAUUAGAGAGUGUGGGGAAGACACAGGCCUCCACAACACAUUUCAGGUUCUCUAAACUGGCAAAGGGGAAGAGUCUGGGCUUCCUUUGCCCUUUUGUUCUCAAAGAGCCCAGCUGUGCACACCCCUCACCCCUGCACUAUAGCUCCCAUUUGGGUAGUGAAAAAUCACAGGACUCAGGGGAGUUAUGCAGCAUUCGGGAAUGGAGACCUGGAAAGCCACACACUCCUCCUUGCUUUCCUGUGAGCCUCUCUUCUUGCUGUCCCCUUUACAACCAACAGUCCCUGCAGGGGGAAGACACUCUGCUUUAGUCAGUUCCACCUCCCUUCCAGAUCUCAUCCUCCUUUCAGCCUAAUUUUCCUCACACUGUCAUGCUCCUUCCCACUGCUCGCCCCCCACCCCCUACUCUCCUCCAGCACAUCACACAUUGCGCCUGGGCACACUGAGCUUGUCUGCCAUCUAUGAAGAGGCCCAUGUCACCCAAGCCCUUCUCUUUCCCUGUCAUGCCAUAGCCUCUUCCAGGAGCGCUCAGCCUGCUGUUUCUGCUCAGACCUCCCCUCCUCUGCAAAGCCUCCUUCUGCGUGCUGCCCGAGAGCCAUCCCCCACUUGGGUUUGUGUUACUGCUGUGUAUGGCAGCAUCUUCACUGUGCCUGAUUUCCCGUCUUGGCCCAUCGUAGGUGCUCAACAAUUGUUUCUCAAAUGACCAGCGCCUGCAGAGGGACCCUGACAUGAACUCCACCCCACCCCGACUCUUGGCAGUUACUCACUGUCCCCUUGAGUCGGGAUCCCAGCCCCUCAGGGGACCUGUCUUGCAGCCAUUCCACGCUCUGUCACCCCACUGCCAGGAGACUAGAGCCACACUGCCUGGAUGACGCUCAUCUUUACCAGCUCGCAGCUCUGCCAGCUGCCUGCUCAGGGGUGGCCGCCAGCUGAGGGAUUGAGCUGAUUAUAGGUGAAUCAGCACCAGGCUGAUUGUGGUGUGAAAAAGGGGAAGGGUGACUGUGUCUUAGCCUCAAUCCUGGCUCCCCUCCUUCCAGCCCUGACCUGCAGUAACAGCACAGGGCCACCAGAGGCUCUAUUGGGCGACUCAUGCCCCGCGGAGAAAGGCCCAGUAGGAGAGCAUCUGACCCAGUUCCCAGCAGAUGAGAAAGGAAGAAGAGUUCAGGAGGCUUCUACUCUCAGAGGUCUCCAGCACUGAAACCCCGCAGCCGCACCUGGCUGCCUUAUCCUUGUGUUUUGCCCCUCAUGGGUCUAGAAGCUGUUGUGUUACACCUUAACAUCUUCCUCCUUGCUUGCCAUGAGCCCCUCUGCUUGCAGCCCCCUUUACAGAACAACAGUCAUGGUAGAGGGAAGAUGUCUCCACUUUUGUCAGUUCUGCCUCCUUUAGGAGAGUGUCAGGCCUAACCCAUGUGUGCUCUGUCUUUCAGGGCAUGGAAAAGACUAUUGUCCUGUUUCGUCUUUUCAACACCUCUUGACUCUCUCCCCCUGGUUUCCUAACAGCCAGCUAGGUUCAGGGCCUCCCAUCUCUGGCCAGGAUUAGUGCAAUGGCUUUCUGAAGGGUCCCAGGCUCCAGGGAGCCCCUUGCCCAUCAAGUCUCUACCCUGGAGCCAGACAGCCCUUACUUCCAUCAGACAUCAGCCUCCAGUGGCUCCGAAAGGCCAGGCAUCCACACAGCACCCCACGGCCCCAAGAACUGGCUGCUUGAUUUUCCUGCCCUGUGUCCCUCCUCUCCUUGGCCCUCUACCCAGCAAUCACCCCAAAACACUGUGAUGUUUCAAGCCUUUGUACUUUGCACACAUUCUUCUCCAUGGCCUAAUUCCCUCUCUCCACCCCUCACUCCACACCUCCUCCACCUUUACCCUUUCUCCCCAUUCUUUCUUCACCGGGCACAGCCCUACUUAUCCUUCAAAACUGCCACUUCCUCUGCGAAGCCUUUCCUGACCCGUGUCCCAGAAUCCCUCCUCUGAACAAAUCCUGUUCCCUAAACAUGCAUCUCUCAUUGUAUCUGUCACUCAAGGGUUGCAAUAAUUACACACACGCCUGUCCUUUGUCCUCCACUGGCUCUGUACCUCCAUGUGGGACCCAUGGCCAGCACACAUUGGUGGUGCCCGAAAGCUGUUGCACUGGAGUUGUUCCUUCUGCCCCAUCACCUCCCACCUUGAACAAGUCCUUUAGAUGACCUGAACUCCAGUUUGUUGAUCUGCAAAAUGGAGAGAUGUGAGAAUCAGAAGAGAACACGUAAUGAAAGGGUGUUAUAAACUGCUAAGGGCUGUACAAAUGUUUGUAUUGCAUUUUUGUCUUCCAGACUAGUGUUUACCUACACUUGCCUGUGUGGAAAUCAGAAGAUUAAAGGAAUGCGAUGUGAUCUUUUUGUAAUUUCCCCACUUGGGUCAAGGGAAAAGCUGGUCAAGAGUAAACCAUUAAUUCAUCCCCCUGCAGGCCCCCCAAUCUUCCCUAGAAUUCUGGGUUAAUGAUUCUGAGGUUGUUUUCCUCACAGAGCCAAUUCAUAUCUAAUCUUUGGCAUGUUCCCCCCUUUAUUAAGAAUAACUUGACUCACCCCAUUAAUUCCUCAUCCUGGGGUCACGAGCCUUGUUUUGCAGAAGGAAAUGGUGGCUGUGUGUAUGUCUUGGGCCUUCUUUCUUUCUCAAACCCCUUUCUUUCAUGGAUUCAUGCCUACAAUUCCCUCUGUGGACAGAAGAGACCUCUCCUUACCUGCAUAAUGAAAUGUGUGACUUUUCUCAAAAGUAGCUUUAGGAAUUAACUGUGGAGGUCCAAGUAGCAAGGAUGCUGUGACCUAACUCGUUACCCCCUCACGUGUGGUUUGGAAUCCCAGCAGAAAAAAUUUCCUGAAGAUCUGGUACGGAGAAACCAUUCUGGGCCUGGCUUUUAAAUGUUUUAUUAGCAGCUGGGCGAGGACUGGGCUGCAAAGAGAUGCAGCCCCCGUCAGAAGCGAUCCCUGUUGGGGAGCAAGGCCUGGAAUUCCAGGAGGGAGGUCUGUUUAUAGCUGAGGCAGAGGCUGGGGAGCGAAGCCUGGGAGCCAGACAUGGCUUAAGGGUGGUCUGGACACUCUUGAGAUAAGGCCAACUAAGGACUAUGAGCUCAUUGAAGUUCCAAAGCCAACUCACAGCAGCUCACCACCAGACAUGUCCCCUGCCCCCACAUUCCCUCCUCUCAAUCCAGGAAUUUUGGUGCUCAUCUCUAUAAAGUUUUAGACCAUGGUGGUAGGAACCUGGUAAGUCUCAGGUUCUUGCAUUGCCCGAUUCUCCUUGGAUUUGCUGGGUUUGCCUCCUUCCCAUGUCUCAGACAGGGCUUUGCAUAAAGAAGUGGGCUGGUAGAUCUGCAAAGGUCCCUCUGUGUGACUGGAGCAAGUUACCCUCUUGAGCCUCAGUGUCCUCUUCUGUAAAAUAGGGAUAUCAUUCUUUCUUUCCCAAGGCUUUUGGUAAUAAUGUCAUUCUCAUGUGAUUCUUAACAAAAUGGGCCUUUCAGACUUAGAUCACUUUUGUGCAUGCAUAAAAAUGAAAGCAUUGAGGAGAAGGAAUUGGUGAAUAUAUGUCUGGAGCAAUAACUUCAUCAGAACUGCCACGGUGGUUGUAGGACCAUUCUGAUUCCAGAGGUAUUAAAAUGCAAAACACAAUGUUGAAAUGCAAAACCCAACAAAAUAAUAAACAGCCUUGUACCUACCGCCUCCCUUAAGAACUAAAACAAUUCCCAACACCACUGAAAGACUGUGUUCACCUCCUUGAUCCAAUCUCUUGCCUUUCCACCCCAGAGAAAACCACUGUCCUGAAUUUUUUCCCACUCCCUUGGUUUUGUUUUACCAAACAUGUAUCCAAUAUGUAACAUAUUAUUUGUAUUUGAUCUUGUUUUUGAAUUGUCCUGUAGGUAGAAUUAUAUCUUAUUCUGCAAUUUGCUUUUUAAAGUUUUUGAAAGAGCAAAACUUAUCUAUGCUAAUACGCUAAUGUGUGUAGCUGCCAUUUAUUUGUCACUGCAUAUACCCCUCUCAAUUCUGUUGAUGGAAAUUUAGGCAGUUUCCAGUAUUAUUUUGCUACAAACAUUCUCAUGGCUGUCUCCUGCAACAUGUGUGUUUCUUGGGAGUAUAC
Molecule: long non-coding RNA, 4932 nt
Filed under: Homo sapiens (human)
Lineage: Eukaryota; Metazoa; Chordata; Mammalia; Primates; Hominidae
Description: HSALNT0021469
Source: RNAcentral